AUUGAACGCUGGCGGCAUGCCUAACACAUGCAAGUCGAACGGAAGUAGCAAUACUUUAGUGGCGGACGGGUGAGGAAUACAUAGGAAUCUGCCUUUUAGUGGGGGAUAACCCGGAGAAAUCCGGGCUAAUACCGCAUAAGCACCACGGUGGAAAGCAGGGGAUCGCAAGACCUUGCGCUAAUAGAUGAGCCUAUGUCGGAUUAGCUAGUUGGUAGGGUAAAGGCCUACCAAGGCGACGAUCCGUAGCUGGUCUGAGAGGACGACCAGCCACACUGGG
This 277-nucleotide ribosomal RNA is filed under the name uncultured bacterium. Its description in RNAcentral is "partial 16S ribosomal RNA". It matches the Rfam family "Bacterial small subunit ribosomal RNA", at positions 30 to 317 of the family's 1533-position model. The record is from RNAcentral.